Molecule: ribosomal RNA, 499 nt
Filed under: uncultured Glomeromycotina
Lineage: Eukaryota; Fungi; Glomeromycota
Description: partial small subunit ribosomal RNA
Rfam family: Eukaryotic small subunit ribosomal RNA
Source: RNAcentral
CCAAUGGCGUAUAUUAAAGUUGCUGCAGUUAAAAAGCUCGUAGUUGAAUUUCGGGACUAAUAUGUUGGUCGUGCCUCGGUACGUACUGGUAUUUUUGGUUUCUCCCUUCUGACGAACCUUGAUGUCAUUAAUUUGGUGUCUUGGGAAAUCAGGACUGUUACUUUGAAAAAAUUAGAGUGUUUAAAGCAGGCUCACGCUUGAAUACAUUAGCAUGGAAUAAUGAAAUAGGACGUUUGAUUCUAUUUUGUUGGUUUCUAGGAUCGACGUAAUGAUUAAUAGGGAUAGUUGGGGGCAUUAGUAUUCAAUUGUCAGAGGUGAAAUUCUUGGAUUUAUUGAAGACUAACUACUGCGAAAGCAUUUGCCAAGGAUGUUUUCAUUAAUCAAGAACGAAAGUUAGGGGAUCGAAGACGAUCAGAUACCGUCGUAGUCUUAACCAUAAACUAUGCCGACUAGGGAUCGGAUGAUGUUAAUUUUUUAAUGACUCAUUCGGCGCCUUACG